Molecule: ribosomal RNA, 731 nt
Filed under: Orientatractis moraveci
Lineage: Eukaryota; Metazoa; Nematoda; Chromadorea; Rhabditida; Atractidae
Description: SSU rRNA
Rfam family: Eukaryotic small subunit ribosomal RNA
Source: RNAcentral
UUCUUGGACCGUAGCGAGACGUCCGACUGCGAAAGCAUUUGCCAAGAAUGUCUUCAUUAAUCAAGAACGAAAGUCAGAGGUUCGAAGGCGAUCAGAUACCGCCCUAGUUCUGACCGUAAACGAUGCCAACCAGCGUUCCGUCGUCGGUAAAUACGCCUUGACGGGCAGCUUCCCGGAAACGAAAGUCUUCCGGUUCCGGGGGAAGUAUGGUUGCAAAGCUGAAACUUAAAGAAAUUGACGGAAGGGCACCACCAGGAGUGGAGCCUGCGGCUUAAUUUGACUCAACACGGGAAAACUCACCUGGCCCGGACACCGUGAGGAUUGACAGAUUGAUAGCUCUUUCUUGAUUCGGUGGUUGGUGGUGCAUGGCCGUUCUUAGUUGGUGGAGUGAUUUGUCUGGUUUAUUCCGAUAACGAGCGAGACUCUAGCCUACUAAAUAGUUACUGAAUAAUUCAGUUCAGACAACUUCUUAGAGGGACAAGCGGUGUUCAGCCGCACGAAAUUGAGCAAUAACAGGUCUGUGAUGCCCUUAGAUGUCCAGGGCUGCACGCGCGCUACACUGGAGGAAUCAGCGUGUUGUAUCCAUUGCCGAAAGGUAUUGGUAACCCGUUGAAAAUCCUCCGUGAUCGGGAUCGGGAAUUGCAAUUAUUUCCCUUGAACGAGGAAUUCCCAGUAAGAGUGAAUCAUUAGCUCACGUUGAUUACGUCCCUGCCCUUUGUACACACCGCCCG